GGGUCUUGUACACACCGCCCGUCACACCACGGGAGUUGGAGACGCCCGAAGCCGAUUAUCUAACCUUUUGGAAGAAGUCGUCGAAGGUGGAAUCAAUAACUGGGGUGAAGUCGUAACAAGGUAGCCGUAUCGGAAGGUGCGGCUGGAUCACCUCCUUUCUAAGGAGA
This 167-nucleotide ribosomal RNA is filed under the name Clostridioides difficile. RNAcentral's name for it is "partial 16S ribosomal RNA". It matches the Rfam family "Bacterial small subunit ribosomal RNA", at positions 1376 to 1533 of the family's 1533-position model. Lineage: Bacteria; Bacillati; Bacillota; Clostridia; Peptostreptococcales; Peptostreptococcaceae. The record is from RNAcentral.